Ostrea edulis (European flat oyster) is the source of this 1302-nucleotide long non-coding RNA. RefSeq lists it as uncharacterized. Lineage: Eukaryota; Metazoa; Mollusca; Bivalvia; Ostreida; Ostreidae. The record is from RefSeq and is a predicted model, not a curated record. The transcript is spliced from 3 exons.
CAUGACGUGUGUAUAUCGGAUCUCACGUGUGCAGCUUAGUUGCCCAUUUGUUAUUUGUUCACAUAACAACUAGAGUUAUCUCUCUUACAUUGCGUUGGUAAUCUAAGUGAUCCGUCUCCAUUUGACCAUCAUUGGUUCGGUGUUUUAUAAUUUCGUUGUUCCUGCGCACGAUUUGCCUGCUCCAAGCACACUUUACAAAAUAAUGGUUUAAUGUAUCCCUGCAUUGUGUAAUUGAAUUCGAGGUAUUCCAAGAUGAGCCUUGUGAGAGAAGUGUUCUAUCGUCAUUGUCCGACAUUGGCGGAAUAUUUCAUCCAUUAAUGAGACGUCACCAGCUGCAGGUGAAGUAACACAAAUUUAGCGCUCAGGGGCGCAGCAGUGAAGGUUCUUAAACCAUAAACAUCUCAUUCAACGAAGGACACCCCCUCCCUUCCGAGACCAGCAAUCUGACACCUCGAUAAACUUUGAAAUACGAUAUUCAUCUGAUAUUUUCAAUGUUCUUAACUUUUCCGUGAUUGUAGAAGUCACUGUUACGACUUUUUGUAAUAAUUCAUUAACAGUUACUGACAUGUACAAACACGUGAAUAAACACAAAAAAGUUUAACAUGUGUUGUAAUGACAUACAUAUUGAAAGUAAGUAAUAAAUCGAAAACAGUCCAAUAUGUCAGAUAUCGAAUGACUCGGGACUGUUCUGGGAAGUUUGCGCUUAUAACUACAGUUGAAACAUUUUACCGAAAUUGGGUUGUACACUACCUAGCAAUGUCCAGGAAAUUAGGCCAUUGUUUAUAAUAUUAUAGCAGUUAUUAUGAUUUUGACCAGAAGAAACCACGUGUAUUCAUAAAUGUCGCACUGGACAGAACUACCAUUAUAAACCCAUUCGCAAUGAUGAGUUUCAAAAUUUGAAAUUAUAAACGACCGUUCGUUUUGUCUUUGGUCAACUAUUUGGCAUGACGAAUUAAGCUUGCAUUCGUAAAAUUAUCAUCUAAUUUUCAAUACGGAGAGAGAUCAUUUAUACUGGAUUUUUAAACUACAUAAAAACCCUUACAAACAAAGAUACAAUGCUGAAUUCAGUAUGUACUUUACCAAGCCCUUAUCUUUGCUCCUCACGAAAAUGUUAACAGUUGUGAAGGAGAAACUUCAAACUUACUAUGCAACUACAUAUACCAGAAGUGGUGUAAAUUAAAUGUGGAUUGUAAAAUAUUUUCAAAGAACUUUUAGUAUACCUGAAAUCGCAAAACUUUUCUCAAAACCUAUGACUUUUCAACACUUUACACGACCAUUCCUCACGAUAAAUUAAAGACUAGA